This 253-nucleotide ribosomal RNA is filed under the name uncultured bacterium. Its description in RNAcentral is "partial 16S ribosomal RNA". It matches the Rfam family "Bacterial small subunit ribosomal RNA", at positions 524 to 776 of the family's 1533-position model. The record is from RNAcentral.
UACGUAGGUGGCAAGCGUUGUCCGGAUUUACUGGGCGUAAAGAGCGCGCAGGCGGUCGUACAAGUCGCGUGUGAAAGCCCCCGGCUCAACUGGGGAGGGUCACGCGAUACUGUUCGACUCGAAGGCAGGAGAGGGAAGCGGAAUUCCCGGUGUAGAGGUGAAAUUCGUAGAUAUUAGGAAGAACACCGGUGGCGAAGGCGGCCCACUGGCUCGAUACUGACGCUGAGGUGCGAAAGCGUGGGGAGCAAACAGG